CCUACGGGCGGCAGCAGUGGGGAAUAUUGGACAAUGGGGGCAACCCUGAUCCAGCCAUGCCGCGUGUGUGAAGAAGGCCCUCGGGUUGUAAAGCACUUUCAGUGAGGAAGAACGCCUGGUGGUUAAUACCCAUCAGGAAAGACAUCACUCACAGAAGAAGCACCGGCUAACUCCGUGCCAGCAGCCGCGGUAAUACGGAGGGUGCGAGCGUUAAUCGGAAUUACUGGGCGUAAAGCGCGCGUAGGUGGCUUGAUAAGCCGGUUGUGAAAGCCCCGGGCUCAACCUGGGAACGGCAUCCGGAACUGUCAAGCUAGAGUGCAGGAGAGGAAGGUAGAAUUCCCGGUGUAGCGGUGAAAUGCGUAGAGAUCGGGAGGAAUACCAGUGGCGAAGGCGGCCUUCUGGACUGAAACUGACACUGAGGUGCGAAAGCGUGGGUAGCAAACAGGAUUAGAUACCCUAGUAGUC
Molecule: ribosomal RNA, 465 nt
Filed under: Vreelandella stevensii
Lineage: Bacteria; Pseudomonadati; Pseudomonadota; Gammaproteobacteria; Oceanospirillales; Halomonadaceae
Description: partial 16S ribosomal RNA
Rfam family: Bacterial small subunit ribosomal RNA
Source: RNAcentral